UCAAAGACGUUGCUGAGGUAA
This 21-nucleotide microRNA is filed under the name Glycine max (soybean). Its description in RNAcentral is "gma-miR4401b". Lineage: Eukaryota; Viridiplantae; Streptophyta; Magnoliopsida; Fabales; Fabaceae. The record is from miRBase by way of RNAcentral.